This is a long non-coding RNA of Lycium barbarum (goji berry), 3453 nucleotides long. RefSeq lists it as uncharacterized. The transcript has 4 exons. The record is from RefSeq and is a predicted model, not a curated record. Lineage: Eukaryota; Viridiplantae; Streptophyta; Magnoliopsida; Solanales; Solanaceae.
AAGUGGACCACAUGGAAGGAUUUUAGGAUGUCACGUGGAGAAUUAUGGGGCUGGUUAUGUGGUGAUUUUAAAGAGUGAAUCAGCAAAUCUAUUAAAUGGUCUUAUCAUUUUUUUUAUGGGGAAAAGAUAAAGUAUGGAAAAUAUUCCACUUCAUCCGUUGGCAGCAAUCAUUCCCACAGGGAUAAUUCAAAUUUGAAGAUCAAAUAUGUUCAGCUACAUGUUACUUUAGAUGAUUCUUUUGUGAAAGCUCUCGGCAGCAAAAAUGUAAGAAAUCAAGAGUAGAAAUUUAUGUCUUCUUCCAUUUAUUGAGGAUUGGAGUACUAGUCAAGACGAGUGCAUUGUUGGUUUGAAUUGACGACACGAGGUUAAAGGGGCGACGAAGCAAGCUUGGUUACGGUUGAUCUAUAACAGUUGUUUUGGAAGAAGGAGCACUUAUUUCUUCAAGUUGACAACUUGUUCAAGUGAAGAAGUUUGUAGAAAAAGAUUUUGGGCGAAACGGGAAUUGAAUUUGGAAAGGCGUAAAGAGCAUACAAGGUAUGUAAAGCUAUCCCGAUUCUUCUUUUGGCAUUCCCUAGGUGUACUAGGAUCGGAUUUGAGCCUCGAAAAGCGUUCUGCUCAUCGGAAUCCGCAUUUGAAAAUACCCCCUUUUUCAUUUAAUGGAAUUGAACCCUAUAAGUAUGCUUUAUUGAAAGAAUUGUGCAAACUUCCGCAAAUUGUUUAGAAAAUUAUGGAAUGCCCCUAGAACCUCCGUAGGUGACUUUAUAAGCUUUAAAUACGUAAUUUGAGCCCAUCGCUUCGUUUGUCCCGAGGUGGGUCCACUAUUUCCGAUUUUACCCUUUUAGUGGUUAUGACUUGUCUUCGAGCGUUUUUUUUAAGAAAUGUUUUAACUACUCUUGUAACUACUAAAUAAAACUUGUUUUAAAUAUUCUAUUAAGUCUUGUAAACUGUUUUGGAACUUGGAAACGAACUUAGAAAGAUUAUGCUUCCGUAAUCCAUUAUGACAUUCGAAAUUCCCUUAUUAUGAUUCCGUCCGAUUUUAUUGAUUUGAUUCGUCAUUUGAUAUGCCUCAUUGAGUCUCUGGAAAUAUAUAAGGUAUUUUAUUGCAUUUAGUUUCUCACUACUCCAUUCGUGGAUGCCUCAACGUUUCCCACACUGAGCCCGGGCCAGGAUAUGUUCUCAAGCGUCUUCCACUGCAUUGUUCGCCGUGCCUCGAUGUGAGGGGGCAGGUAUACAUGUACAUGGGUUGUGGAGUAUGCUGUGCCAUGUACACUAUUCUGAUAUGAUAUGAUAUGAUCUGAUAUGGCCAUCUGAUAUGAUAUGCUAUGUUACGGGGUUAUUCCCCUUUUAUGAUCCUUAUGUGUUGUGGCACCAGUGUCGGGGGGUGACCACGUUCUGUCUACCGAGUCCCCUGGAAGGGGCCGGAUAUGAUAUGGCAUAUGUUUCUGUACACACUCUUCAUGUUUUGAAAAUAUGCAUUUGAUACUCUGGACAUCUCACUCACAUUUCUGUACGUUCUGUUCUGGUUAUGAUUUUGUUCCGUAAUGGGACCAGGUAUGACAUACGUUUCCUGUAAGUACUAUUUAUGCUUUAUGAUCAGCAUUUUGCUAAUCUGGAUAUUCCGUUCAUUUUCUGUAUCUCCUGUUCCGAUUAUGACUUUGUUUACUACGUUCCAUGCUUUACAUACUCAGUACAUAUUUCGUAAUGACCCCCUUUCUUCGAGGGCUGUGUUUUCAUGCCGCGCAGGUACAGACUACAGAUUUGCUGACCCACCUGCCUAGGACACCUAUUCUGCUAUUCUGGAGCGCUCUUUUGUCCAGAGCCUAUACUCUGGUACAGUCUGCUACUGUUGUAUAUAUGUACGCUAUUCAGGGGUACGACGGGGCCCUGUCCCGUCUUAUGAUUCUGUUAUGUUCUGUAGAUGUCUGUAGACAUACAUGUGGGUUCUGUAUAUGUUUUGGGUUGCUAUCAUUUGUGAUAGCCUUAUCGGCUUCCAUGUGCUAUGUAUGUUCCUCUGUGACACUAGUAACGUCGACUGACUUUUAUAUUUAUAUAAUCUGCUAGUCUGCUGGUUUAGGUUAUUGGGUACGUUUGGGUGUCCAGCACGGACACUAGUCACGGCCUACGGGGUUGGGUCGUGACACUUUAUAUACUCAGUACAUAUCUCGUACUGACCCCCUUUCUUCGGGGAGCUGCGUUUCAUGCCCGCAGGUGCAAAUACUCGCUUUGGUGAUCCUCCAGCUUAGGACUUCUACUUAGCUUUCUUGGAGUGAUCCAUUGUUCCGGAGCCUAGACUUUUGGUAUAGAUCCUUUUGACGUAUAUAUAUGGUUAUCCAGGGGUACGGCGGGGCCCUGUCCCGUCAUAUUUCACUAUCGAUACUCGUAGAGGUCUGUAGACAUAUGUGUGGGUUGUGCAUAAGUUUUGUUCAGCUGUGUCUAUAUGGCUUACGUAUGGUAUUGACAUGUUGUGACAGCUUUGUCGGCUUACGUAUGGUAUUGAUAUGUUGUGGCGGCCUUGUCGGCUUGCGUAUCAUAUUGACAUGUUGUGACAGCCUUGUCGGCGUACGUAUGGUAUUGAUAUGUUGUGGCGGCCUUGUCAGCUUGCGUAUCAUAUUGACAUGUAGUGGCAGCCUUGUCGGCUUGCGUAUCAUAUUAUUUAUUGGUUACCUGUGACUCCUCAGGAGACAGGUUUAUGAUAUGCGGCGUUAUGAAUCUUUAGUUGCUUUCAUAAGUUCCAUACAGUUCUUAAUUUCAGUCUGACUAGAUCUAACAGGUACGUAUACGGGUGUCCAGCUCGGGCACUAGUCAUGGCCCACGGGGUUGGGUCGUGACAGUACCAUUCUCGCUUCAUCAAUAUGUAAAAUUUUUCUGGGAAGGAGAUGAAGUGGUGAUCCACGGAGAAGCUAUCAUGCACAAUUACCCAGACAAUUCUGUACUUGUCAUUGAAGCCGCACCCAAUGGAACGAAUUUCCAUGUCAUGGAGUUAGUGGGAUCGGCCUACGGGAUGGAGUCCUCUAAAAUUCUUAUGCCAGCGGUUUACAAAAUGAUUGCUUCCACUAUGAUCUUGAAGGGGUUUGAACCCAGGAAGGGUCUGGGAAAGAAUCUACAGGGCAUCACCGAACCCAUUCCCAUUCUGCAAGAUAAUUUUCUCUUUGGACUUUGUUACAUCCCAACAAAAGAAUAGAUGCCCACCAAGAAGAAACAAUAGGUUGCGGAUCUUUGCAAGCCCAUUCCAAACCUGUACCAAUCAUUUCCCCAUAUAAUGCCUAUUCCUGGAGAUGCUGACAUUGAAGAAGGGAUAAGGACGCUAUUCCAGGAAGAAGAUUACUUCGUGAUUCUGGAAGAAUGUGCUGAAGCACCCACCAUCAGAGAGGCAGAACCACGCGAGCAGCUGUCCAACUGGAUCACUACCCCGCUACUGGCUCUUCAGUAGAGAAAGAUGAAUUUAUUUUUGAA